CCUAGCGGCGGACGGGUGAGUAAUGCUUAGGAAUCUGCCUAUUAGUGGGGGACAACAUUCCGAAAGGAAUGCUAAUACCGCAUACGCCCUACGGGGGAAAGCAGGGGAUCUUCGGACCUUGCGCUAAUAGAUGAGCCUAAGUCAGAUUAGCUAGUUGGUGGGGUAAAGGCCUACCAAGGCGACGAUCUGUAGCGGGUCUGAGAGGAUGAUCCGCCACACUGGGACUGAGACACGGCCCAGACUCCUACGGGAGGCAGCAGUGGGGAAUAUUGGACAAUGGGCGCAAGCCUGAUCCAGCCAUGCCGCGUGUGUGAAGAAGGCCUUUUGGUUGUAAAGCACUUUAAGCGAGGAGGAGGCUACUUAGAUUAAUACUCUAGGAUAGUGGACGUUACUCGCAGAAUAAGCACCGGCUAACUCUGUGCCAGCAGCCGCGGUAAUACAGAGGGUGCGAGCGUUAAUCGGAUUUACUGGGCGUAAAGCGUGCGUAGGCGGCUUUUUAAGUCGGAUGUGAAAUCCCUGAGCUUAACUUAGGAAUUGCAUUCGAUACUGGGAAGCUAGAGUAUGGGAGAGGAUGGUAGAAUUCCAGGUGUAGCGGUGAAAUGCGUAGAGAUCUGGAGGAAUACCGAUGGCGAAGGCAGCCAUCUGGCCUAAUACUGACGCUGAGGUACGAAAGCAUGGGGAGCAAACAGGAUUAGAUACCCUGGUAGUCCAUGCCGUAAACGAUGUCUACUAGCCGUUGGGGCCUUUGAGGCUUUAGUGGCGCAGCUAACGCGAUAAGUAGACCGCCUGGGGAGUACGGUCGCAAGACUAAAACUCAAAUGAAUUGACGGGGGCCCGCACAAGCGGUGGAGCAUGUGGUUUAAUUCGAUGCAACGCGAAGAACCUUACCUGGUCUUGACAUAGUAAGAACUUUCCAGAGAUGGAUUGGUGCCUUCGGGAACUUACAUACAGGUGCUGCAUGGCUGUCGUCAGCUCGUGUCGUGAGAUGUUGGGUUAAGUCCCGCAACGAGCGCAACCCUUUUCCUUAUUUGCCAGCGGGUUAAGCCGGGAACUUUAAGGAUACUGCCAGUGACAAACUGGAGG
RNAcentral lists this ribosomal RNA (1083 nucleotides) under Acinetobacter sp. LS1. Its description in RNAcentral is "bacterial SSU rRNA". It matches the Rfam family "Bacterial small subunit ribosomal RNA", at positions 91 to 1169 of the family's 1533-position model. Lineage: Bacteria; Pseudomonadati; Pseudomonadota; Gammaproteobacteria; Moraxellales; Moraxellaceae. The record is from RNAcentral.